UGGGGAAUAUUGCACAAUGGGCGCAAGCCUGAUGCAGCGACGCCGCGUGCGGGAUGACGGCCUUCGGGUUGUAAACCGCUUUUGAUCGGGAGCAAGCCUUCGGGUGAGUGUACCUUUCGAAUAAGCACCGGCUAACUACGUGCCAGCAGCCGCGGUAAUACGUAGGGUGCAAGCGUUAUCCGGAAUUAUUGGGCGUAAAGGGCUCGUAGGCGGUUCGUCGCGUCCGGUGUGAAAGUCCAUCGCUUAACGGUGGAUCUGCGCCGGGUACGGGCGGGCUGGAGUGCGGUAGGGGAGACUGGAAUUCCCGGUGUAACGGUGGAAUGUGUAGAUAUCGGGAAGAACACCAAUGGCGAAGGCAGGUCUCUGGGCCGUUACUGACGCUGAGGAGCGAAAGCGUGGGGAGCGAACAGGAUUAGAUACCCUGGUAGUCCACGCCGUAAACGGUGGAUGCUGGAUGUGGGGCCCGUUCCACGGGUUCCGUGUCGGAGCUAACGCGUUAAGCAUCCCGCCUGGGGAGUACGGCCGCAAGGCUAAAACUCAAAGAAAUUGACGGGGGCCCGCACAAGCGGCGGAGCAUGCGGAUUAAUUCGAUGCAACGCGAAGAACCUUACCUGGGCUUGACAUGUUCCCGACAGCCGUAGAGAUAUGGCCUCCCUUCGGGGCGGGUUCACAGGUGGUGCAUGGUCGUCGUCAGCUCGUGUCGUGAGAUGUUGGGUUAAGUCCCGCAACGAGCGCAACCCUCGCCCUGUGUUGCCAGCACGUCAUGGUGGGAACUCACGGGGGACCGCCGGGGUCAACUCGGAGGAAGGUGGGGAUGACGUCAGAUCAUCAUGCCCCUUACGUCCAGGGCUUCACGCAUGCUACAAUGGCCGGUACAACGGGAUGCGACACGGCGACGUGGAGCGGAUCCCUGAAAACCGGUCUCAGUUCGGAUUGGAGUCUGCAACCCGACUCCAUGAAGGCGGAGUCGCUAGUAAUCGCGGAUCAGCAACGCCGCGGUGAAUGCGUUCCC
This 1012-nucleotide ribosomal RNA is filed under the name uncultured bacterium. RNAcentral's name for it is "bacterial SSU rRNA". It matches the Rfam family "Bacterial small subunit ribosomal RNA", at positions 355 to 1375 of the family's 1533-position model. The record is from RNAcentral.